This 153-nucleotide non-coding RNA is filed under the name Pseudomonas alkylphenolica. Its description in RNAcentral is "FMN sequence". It matches the Rfam family "FMN riboswitch aptamer (RFN element)". Rfam says of the family: The RFN element is a highly conserved domain that is found frequently in the 5'-untranslated regions of prokaryotic mRNAs that encode for flavin mononucleotide (FMN) biosynthesis and transport proteins. This element is a metabolite-dependent riboswitch that directly binds FMN in the absence of proteins. In Bacillus subtilis, the riboswitch most likely controls gene expression by causing premature transcription termination within the 5' untranslated region of the ribDEAHT operon and precluding access to the ribosome-binding site of ypaA mRNA. The record is from RNAcentral. Lineage: Bacteria; Pseudomonadati; Pseudomonadota; Gammaproteobacteria; Pseudomonadales; Pseudomonadaceae.
CAACGUUCUCAGGGCGGGGUGCAAUUCCCCACCGGCGGUAAUUGCGCAACCUGCGCAUAGCCCGCGAGCGCUUGCAGGCUUGCCUUGCAAGGUCAGCAGACCCGGUGUGAUUCCGGGGCCGACGGUCAUAGUCCGGAUAAAGAGAGAACGGGA